AUUAAGCACUCCGCCUGGGGAGUACGACCGCAAGGUUGAAACUCAAAGGAAUUGACGGGGGCCCGCACAAGCGGUGGAGCAUGUGGUUUAAUUCGAAGCAACGCGAAGAACCUUACCAGGUCUUGACAUCCUUUGACCACUCUAGAGAUAGAGCUUCCCCUUCGGGGGCAAAGUGACAGGUGGUGCAUGGUUGUCGUCAGCUCGUGUCGUGAGAUGUUGGGUUAAGUCCCGCAACGAGCGCAACCCUUAUUGUUAGUUGCCAUCAUUCAGUUGGGCACUCUAGCAAGACUGCCGGUGACAAACCGGAGGAAGGUGGGGAUGACGUCAAAUCAUCAUGCCCCUUAUGACCUGGGCUACACACGUGCUACAAUGGGAAGUACAACGAGUUGCGAAGUCGCGAGGCUAAGCUAAUCUCUUAAAGCUUCUCUCAGUUCGGAUUGCAGGCUGCAACUCGCCUGCAUGAAGCCGGAAUCGCUAGUAAUCGCGGAUCAGCACGCCGCGGUGAAUACGUUCCCGGGCCUUGUACACACCGCCCGUCACACCACGAGAGUUUGUAACACCCGAAGUCGGUGAGGUAACCUUUUGGAGCCAGCCGCCUAAGGUGGGAUAGAUGAUUGGGGUGAAGUCGUAACAAGGUAGCCGUAUCGGAAGGUGCGGCUGGAUCACCUCCUUU
Molecule: ribosomal RNA, 673 nt
Filed under: Enterococcus faecium
Lineage: Bacteria; Bacillati; Bacillota; Bacilli; Lactobacillales; Enterococcaceae
Description: bacterial SSU rRNA
Rfam family: Bacterial small subunit ribosomal RNA
Source: RNAcentral